AACGAACGCUGGCGGCGUGCUUAACACAUGCAAGUCGAACGGAAAGGCCCUGCUUUUGUGGGGUGCUCGAGUGGCGAACGGGUGAGUAACACGUGAGUAACCUGCCCUUGACUUUGGGAUAACUUCAGGAAACUGGGGCUAAUACCGGAUAGGAGCUCCUGCUGCAUGGUGGGGGUUGGAAAGUUUCGGCGGUUGGGGAUGGACUCGCGGCUUAUCAGCUUGUUGGUGGGGUAGUGGCUUACCAAGGCUUUGACGGGUAGCCGGCCUGAGAGGGUGACCGGCCACAUUGGGACUGAGAUACGGCCCAGACUCCUACGGGAGGCAGCAGUGGGGAAUAUUGCACAAUGGGCGGAAGCCUGAUGCAGCAACGCCGCGUGCGGGAUGACGGCCUUCGGGUUGUAAACCGCUUUCGCCUGUGACGAAGCGUGAGUGGCGGUAAUGGGUAAAGAAGCACCGGCUAACUACGUG
RNAcentral lists this ribosomal RNA (468 nucleotides) under uncultured bacterium. RNAcentral describes it as "partial 16S ribosomal RNA". It matches the Rfam family "Bacterial small subunit ribosomal RNA", at positions 28 to 507 of the family's 1533-position model. The record is from RNAcentral.